GCAUAACGCGAAGAACCUUACCAGGACUUGACAUCUCCGGAAUCCCCCAGAAAUGGGAGAGUGCCGUAAGGAGCCGGAUGACAGGUGCUGCACGGUCGUCGUUAGCUCGUGCUGUGAAGUGUCCCGUUAAGUCGGUUAACGAGCGCAACCCCUAUCGUAUGUUAAAUUUCUCAUACGAGACUGCCGACGUUAAGUCGGAGGAAGGUGGGGAUGACGUCAGAUCAGCGUGGCUCUUACGUCCUGGGCCACACACGUGUUACAAUGGAUAGCAACAAUGGGUUGCCAAGCUGCAAAGCGGAGCUAAUCCCAUCAAACCUAUCCUCAAUUCGGAUUGAGGGCUGCAACUCGCCCUCAUGAAGUCGGAAUCGCUAGUAAUCGUGGGUCAGCCAUACCACGGUGAAUACGUUCUCGGGUCUUGUACACACCG
RNAcentral lists this ribosomal RNA (427 nucleotides) under uncultured bacterium. Its description in RNAcentral is "bacterial SSU rRNA". It matches the Rfam family "Bacterial small subunit ribosomal RNA", at positions 954 to 1392 of the family's 1533-position model. The record is from RNAcentral.